GGGCCCGCACAAGCAGCGGAGCAUGUGGUUUAAUUCGAAGCAACGCGAAGAACCUUACCUAGACUUGACAUCUCCUGAAUUACCCUUAAUCGGGGAAGCCCUUCGGGGCAGGAAGACAGGUGGUGCAUGGUUGUCGUCAGCUCGUGUCGUGAGAUGUUGGGUUAAGUCCCGCAACGAGCGCAACCCUUAUUGUUAGUUGCUACCAUUUAGUUGAGCACUCUAGCGAGACUGCCCGGGUUAACCGGGAGGAAGGUGGGGAUGACGUCAAAUCAUCAUGCCCCUUAUGUCUAGGGCUACACACGUGCUACAAUGGCUGGUACAGAGAGAUGCUAAACCGCGAGGUGGAGCCAAACUUUAAAACCAGUCUCAGUUCGGAUUGUAGGCUGAAACUCGCCUACAUGAAGCUGGAGUUGCUAGUAAUCGCGAAUCAGAAUGUCGCGGUGAAUACGUUCCCGGGCCUUGUACACACCGCCCGUCACACCAUGAGAGUUGGCAAUACCCAAAGUUCGUGAGCUAACGCGUAAGCGAGGCAGCGACCUAAGGUAGGGUCAGCGAUUGGGGUGAAGUCGUAACAAGGUAGCCGUAGGAGAACCUGCGGCU
This 600-nucleotide ribosomal RNA is filed under the name uncultured Clostridium sp. Its description in RNAcentral is "bacterial SSU rRNA". It matches the Rfam family "Bacterial small subunit ribosomal RNA", at positions 917 to 1519 of the family's 1533-position model. Lineage: Bacteria; Bacillati; Bacillota; Clostridia; Eubacteriales; Clostridiaceae. The record is from RNAcentral.